UACAGAGGUCCCAAGCGUUGCUCGGAAUCACUGGGCGUAAAGGGUGCGUAGGCGGGUUUCUAAGUCAGAGGUGAAAUCCUGGAGCUCAACUCCAGAACUGCCUUUGAUACUGGAAGUCUUGAGUAUGGGAGAGGUGAGUGGAACUGCGAGUGUAGAGGUGAAAUUCGUAGAUAUUCGCAAGAACACCAGUGGCGAAGGCGGCUCACUGGCCCAUAACUGACGCUGAGGCACGAAAACGUGGGGAGCAAACAGG
RNAcentral lists this ribosomal RNA (253 nucleotides) under uncultured bacterium. RNAcentral's name for it is "partial 16S ribosomal RNA". It matches the Rfam family "Bacterial small subunit ribosomal RNA", at positions 524 to 776 of the family's 1533-position model. The record is from RNAcentral.